UACGGAGGGUGCGAGCGUUAUUCGGAAUUACUGGGCGUAAAGCGCGUGUAGGCGGGGAGGCAAGUCUGAUGUGAAAGCCCCGGGCUUAACCUGGGAAGUGCAUUGGAAACUGCUUUUCUUGAGUGCUGGAGAGGAAGGGGGAAUUCCCGGUGUAGAGGUGAAAUUCGUAGAGAUCGGGAGGAAUACCAGUGGCGAAGGCGCCCUUCUGGACGGCAACUGACGAUGAGGCACGAAAGCGUGGGGAGCGAACAGG
RNAcentral lists this ribosomal RNA (253 nucleotides) under uncultured bacterium. Its description in RNAcentral is "partial 16S ribosomal RNA". It matches the Rfam family "Bacterial small subunit ribosomal RNA", at positions 524 to 776 of the family's 1533-position model. The record is from RNAcentral.